This 74-nucleotide transfer RNA is filed under the name Rhizobium ruizarguesonis. RNAcentral's name for it is "tRNA-Lys". Lineage: Bacteria; Pseudomonadati; Pseudomonadota; Alphaproteobacteria; Hyphomicrobiales; Rhizobiaceae. The record is from RNAcentral.
GCCACUGAGGUGAUGCGGAUUCACACUUACUUUUAAUCAGUAGGUCUCGGGUUCGAACCCCGACGCUCUCACCA